GCUUACAUUUAACUUUAUAAAAAAGAUGGAUUACACAAAAAAUGUUUAGGCAAUCCAUGAUGACAUAUUCAUAUUGUUUCUUUGCUCCUUUUUUUUUCUUCAAUUUUUGAAUUAUUUUUUUUCCUUUUUCGUUAUGGAGCCUAAAAUAUAUGUUUAUGUUAAAUUUUAUUCAAAUUUCCUCUUUGGCUAAUUUUAUUCAAAUUCCCUU
This 208-nucleotide long non-coding RNA is filed under the name Salvia miltiorrhiza (redroot sage). RNAcentral's name for it is "long non-coding RNA (SMIL_LNC008891)". The record is from RNAcentral. Lineage: Eukaryota; Viridiplantae; Streptophyta; Magnoliopsida; Lamiales; Lamiaceae.